This is a non-coding RNA of Trichomycterus rosablanca, 414 nucleotides long. The record is from the annotation of a RefSeq genome assembly. NCBI's taxonomy places the organism in Eukaryota, Metazoa, Chordata, Actinopteri, Siluriformes, Trichomycteridae.
UCAACCAUGAUCUUCAUCUCCAUCUUCAUCUGCACACUGGCUCUCUGCACUCAAGGAUCCAGAGGUCAGGUGACUGUGACUCAGAGUCCUGCAGUAAAACAUGUUGAUCCAGGAGCUUCAGUCACCAUCAACUGUAAAACCAGUUCUGCUGUUUACAAUAAUGACUUUUUAGCCUGGUAUCAGCAGAAACCUGGAGAAGCUCCUAAACUCCUGAUCUACAGGACUAACAGCAGAGAAUCAGGUAUUCCAGAUCGUUUCAGUGGCAGUGGAUCCAGAUCUGACUUCACUCUGACCAUCAGUAGAAUUGAGACUGGAGAUGCAGGAGAUUAUUACUGUCAGAGUUACCAUUAUAUCAGUAGUACUAACAUCUUCUCACAGUGUUAUAUGGUGGUACAAAAACCUGGGUCUUGGUGA